RNAcentral lists this ribosomal RNA (468 nucleotides) under uncultured bacterium. RNAcentral describes it as "partial 16S ribosomal RNA". It matches the Rfam family "Bacterial small subunit ribosomal RNA", at positions 28 to 507 of the family's 1533-position model. The record is from RNAcentral.
GACGAACGCUGGCGGCGUGCUUAACACAUGCAAGUCGAACGGAAAGGCCCUGCUUUUGUGGGGUGCUCGAGUGGCGAACGGGUGAGUAACACGUGCGUAACCUGCCCUUGACUUUGGGAUAACUUCAGGAAACUGGGGCUAAUACCGGAUAGGAGCUCCUGCUGCAUGGUGGGGGUUGGAAAGUUUCGGCGGUUGGGGAUGGACUCGCGGCUUAUCAGCUUGUUGGUGGGGUAGUGGCUUAACAAGGCUUUGACGGGUAGCCGGCCUGAGAGGGUGACCGGCCACAUUGGGACUGAGGUGCGGCCCAGACUCCUACGGGAGGAAGCAGUGCGGAAUAUUGAACAAUGGGCGGAAGCCUAAUGCAGCAGGGCCGCGUGCGGGAUGACGGCCUUCGGGUUGUAAACCGCUUUCGCCUGUGACGAAGCGUGAGUGACGGUAAUGGAUAAAGAAGCACCGGCUAACUACGUG